This is a long non-coding RNA of Sander lucioperca (pikeperch), 676 nucleotides long. RefSeq lists it as uncharacterized. The transcript has 3 exons. NCBI's taxonomy places the organism in Eukaryota, Metazoa, Chordata, Actinopteri, Perciformes, Percidae. The record is from RefSeq and is a predicted model, not a curated record.
AGGCUACACUCAGGUCUCUCAGCAACAUGAUGUCACGUCCUGCCUGAGUUAUGUAAUGGUCUCAAUCUAUGCAGGAAGGUUGUUGUUACAGUAAGAGACUACCAUAUUCUCAACCAACCUGGACAUCCAUAAGGAGGCUCCCACAGCUCCCACAGUUUACAAGAAUGUAUCACAUCUAAACCCAUUAAGUCAGUUAUGUUCUACUGGCACCAUUUUGGGCAUGGAAAUGUUCCUCACCUGUCUCCCAGCGCUCCUGUCUCAUGAGCCUUCUUACUACGUCUUCGUCAACUUCAGCGCUACUGCUUGCAGUGUGGACACAAACUAGCUCCUGGGAUUCAGGGCGUCUUCUGUAGGGACAACAGUUUGAAGCCGUCUGAAGAGCUGGUAGACAGGAGCACUUGAGAACUAACUGAGGCUGCAUUGGAGACUUCACCCCCUAAUCAGUCUGUCUGAAAUAUGUAAGACAUUGUUUAUCGCAAAAAAACGUACAAUUAAAAACUAACAGAAACACAUAGCACUAUCACACACAUCACAUCAGAUAUCUAAUAUUUAUUUUUUGAUAUGUUGCACUAUACACAGAACUUUGACACUGUUAAAAUCUAAAUGGAACCAGUUCACAAUCAUCAUAAUAAGCACCUGACAAAAAAAAACAUCUGUCUGCACAUGAAUUAUUUUC